Molecule: transfer RNA, 69 nt
Filed under: Ictidomys tridecemlineatus (thirteen-lined ground squirrel)
Lineage: Eukaryota; Metazoa; Chordata; Mammalia; Rodentia; Sciuridae
Description: Spermophilus tridecemlineatus (thirteen-lined ground squirrel) tRNA
Rfam family: tRNA
About the family: Transfer RNA (tRNA) molecules are approximately 80 nucleotides in length. Their secondary structure includes four short double-helical elements and three loops (D, anti-codon, and T loops). Further hydrogen bonds mediate the characteristic L-shaped molecular structure. tRNAs have two regions of fundamental functional importance: the anti-codon, which is responsible for specific mRNA codon recognition, and the 3' end, to which the tRNAs corresponding amino acid is attached (by aminoacyl-tRNA synthetases). tRNAs cope with the degeneracy of the genetic code in two manners: having more than one tRNA (with a specific anti-codon) for a particular amino acid; and 'wobble' base-pairing, i.e. permitting non-standard base-pairing at the 3rd anti-codon position.
Source: Rfam by way of RNAcentral
GGGGCUGUAGCUCAGUGGCAGAGUGCUCACCUAGCAUGUGUGAGGCAAUGGGUUCAAUCCUCAGCACCA